GUGUUGUUUGGAAGGAGAGCAAGUUAGCACUCCCCUAGACAAGGAUGGAACACACAAACGAGCGGCUUGGCACAAGACAAGGUCGUUCACAAGUUUUU
Molecule: non-coding RNA, 98 nt
Filed under: Drosophila grimshawi
Lineage: Eukaryota; Metazoa; Arthropoda; Insecta; Diptera; Drosophilidae
Source: RNAcentral